UAGGGGGCGUGGAGAGAGGCGGGCGCGAGGCGCGCAGCGGAGGGACCGCCCCGCCGGGGCAACGCCGCCGGCCGCCUCUUCACCUGUUGCCGGGGACUGUGCGGCGGAGGGGGCGCGGAGUCGCGCCCAGGGUCGCGGGGCUGCGGCGCGGAGGGGGAGGGGACGCGGGGUCCUGGCCGCCCGCUGCCCCCUGCCCGGCCGGGCCUCGGACAGGCCCCGCCUCCCUCGGGCGGGCAGCCACCGAUGACCUGUCUCCUCGCACCUGACCGCGCGGCGUAGGCUGCAGGGCCCCUCGGGGACACCGAGGCCUCCGCUAAUGAGCUCCCUGAGCGGCGACGGGGCCGGGGGGCGGGGUGGCGGCUCGCAGGCGAGAAAGAGCCGCGGGAACUCUGACCCGGCCGGACCUUAGACCCGAGAUCGAUGCGAGGCCGCCAGGACCGCCAGGAGACGGCCCGAGGUUCUCCCCCGCCCGCUGCGGCCGCCACCGCAGCCCGGCGUUAUUUCCUGCCCCUCCUGUCGGGAACAAUAGUCAAGGUCACAAAAGAGAAAGAAACAUUUGAGGAAGUGUCCACACUGAAAGAGACGAAGGAGACCUGGUGGUUAAAUGCAAUGUGAAAUCCUCGAUCAGAUCCUGGGUCAGAAAAAGAACAAUAGUGAGUGAAGUGGAAUAAGAAAACACAUUGGGAAGCUCACAUUCUUCCGGUACACGGCUCCUCGGGGGAAACUCGGCCUGGGGAAGAGACAUGCUAUUCAGGCCCCUUUGCAUUUGGAACCAUUUGAAUGCACACAUGUUUUGCAUACUGCUGUUCCAGCUGUGGCCUGCACGAAGGAGCUGUAAUCAGCAGAGGCACCAAUCUGAUGCCAGGUACUUUUAGAUCUGGUCGAGUAUCACCAUUUCCUGGCAGCUGGCAGGGAAGUGUCUUGGGUCAGCAGUGCCUUUUUUGCACAAAUGGGCUGGGGCAGCCUCGUGAACGAGUUACUUUUCCACAAGGUACUGAAACAAUGCUAAUAUGUCGGAGUCCUGGGAUUUUCAUGGCUGGCAUUCUGAAGUGUUUUUCUCAUAUUGCACAUUACCGCACCACUUUUUCUUUCUUAAGGUGGAUCUCUUUCUCCAAAGUCCUGGAAGGGGAGCUGAAGCCACAAAGUCUUGGCCCUAAUGAGCAUGCCCGACUCUGUUUUGUCUUAUUUUCACACAUAGGGUCCUCUCUACAGAUGACACGUGCGCUUUUAAAAACUGCUCAGCCUACUUUAAACUGCCUUUAAACUAUUACCCUGGAUUUCCUUUAGGAAAUGACUCCUUCCUCAUUCUCAGCCCCGCUAUUUGGAUGGGACUGAGCCCACCCUCAGUCCCAGGGCUGGGCCAUGAUUGGCUUAAUCACCAUCUUGGCCACUUGCCUGGUUCAGGGAAAGAAAUAUGACCCGAUUAGAGCUAAUGAGACAGGAAGAUGUUUGCAGGGGCCGCUUCACUGCUGUACAAUAGCAGAGCCUGCCAUAGCUGGAGGGAGGGCAAUUGGUGUUGAUGUGGAGGGAAAGAGUUUUCCAUGAAGUCAUCUGGGCCCUGGUUCACACGGCUCCUGAAGCUAGCCCUGCCUUUGGAUGUUUUGGUUAUAUGAGCCAACACAGUCCCUUUCUUGUUAAGGCAGUCUGAGGUUUUGAGGGGGAGAUUGCUUUUGUUUUGUGUUGAUUUUUGUCAUUCGAAACACACAGAUCCUUACCUGAUACAUACAUAAUAUUUCUAAUGUGAUUUGGAUUUAUCCAUUUUCAGACCAGUGACUUAAAGGAUGAAUCCAGGCUGCAACAGGUCAUUUAAAACAUAACAGUUUGCUGCAAAAAGUACAAAUUGCUGGCAACAGAGUUUCGUCGCAUUUGAAAAUUACUUUUUUUUCAGUCCUUAAUCAGAACUGAGCACCCUGACUAGUCUUUCAUGACCUUCUCCCUCUGUAAAAAUGAGCUGUAAUUCAUGCGUGUAGCAGUGUGGAUCCAACGAGGAGAUAGAAUCAUACAAUAGGUUCAACAGGGAUGUUUUAUAUAAAGAAGUAUUAACUGUGAUAAAAGUGUAACUGUAAGAUAAAAGGAAAUGAUAUGGUACCCUAGGAGGGAGGGAGAGCACCCACUGAAGGUCAGUCUUGGAAGGGGUCCAGGUCUCACUGGAGAAGGUGUGACUCGGCCCACUGGACAGCAGGGAAGUCUGGCUG
Long non-coding RNA from Phyllostomus discolor (pale spear-nosed bat), 2195 nucleotides. RefSeq lists it as uncharacterized. The record is from RefSeq and is a predicted model, not a curated record. Lineage: Eukaryota; Metazoa; Chordata; Mammalia; Chiroptera; Phyllostomidae. The transcript has 3 exons.